CCCUAAAUUCAAUUUGAAAUGUGAAAUCGUUAAUGAAUAGUCUAUUAUCGGAGCAAAUAUUUGUUGCCUUAAGGGAACUUUAAAGAGAAUUUUUCUGUUGCAUGCACAUUGGAAUAACAUUAAAUGCCAUAUUAAGAAUAGAAAUGUCUCUUCUAUGUAGAAUUCAAUAUUAAUGAAGUGGAAAAUUAAAUUACCUAAAGCUCAAAGUUAACAUGAAUCACCUGGUGUAAAUUUGUAACUCCAGGAUGAUCAGAAAGUUGUUAUAAAACUCUUAUCAAUAAUGAAAUUAGACCCAUUUCAUUACUAGAUCAUAUGAUACCUGAUGCAGAUCUACACAAUCAGUGCUCACUUCGUAGUAGAAUUUCACAUCUCUACAUGGGUUUGAUUUUUUUCUGUAUAAAUCCAAGGGUUGUUUGUGGUUACUGGUGUAUAUUUCAUUGUCAGGAUUACACUCUAAUCCACAGUGGCUAACAAUAUUUAAAUUAUAGUAUGUGUUUUAUUUGCUGUUUUAGAAUUACAUUAUAUCUAUUAAAAUCUGGUUUUUCCCUCAUUGCUGUCCAUGAAUAUUUUCGACUUCUUCUCAAAUGAUGGUGGACCAAGUUUGACCAAAAUUGGCAUGUAGCAUUAUUGGAAGAAAGGGAAUGAAAUUUGUGGCCCCUGUUUAUCCUGGGGGCUGAGGGUCAGGACCUAAAGUUUUAAAAAUGAUGAUGCAAUCUUUUGACAAUUUCCUAUAUACUAAAGGAUUUAUCAGGGAUGCCUCGAUCUACCUUGAGUCAGGGUUUCUGAGGCUUAAGGGUGGUCUUGAUGGCUCAUAUUAUGAAAAUGCAUUAUAUAAAAAAAAAGAAAGAACUUCUCAACUCUUCCAUGAUUGUCUAUUGAUUAAGGUGUUCACUUUGCAACUGAGAGGUCCGGGGUUAGAUUCUGGAUUGAGGGAGAUCGAGGUCUGGGGUUAGAUUCUGAAUUGAGGGAGAGGUCUGGGGUUAGAUUCUGGUCUGGGGUUAGAUUUUGGAUUGAGGGAGAGGUCUGGGGUUAAAUUCUGGUCUGGGGUUAAAUUCUGGUCUGGGGUGAGAUUCUGGAUUGAGGGAGACGUCCGGGGUUAGAUUCUGGAUUGAGGGAGACGUCCGGGGUUAGAUUCUGGAUUGAGGGAGAGGUCCAAGAUUAGAUUCUGGAUUGAGGGAGACGUCCAAGGUUAGAUUCUGGAUUGAGGGAGAUCGAGGUCUGGGGUUAGAUUCUGGAUUGAGGGAGACGUCCGGGGUUAGAUUCUGGCCUGAGGUUAGAUUCUGGAUUGAGGGAGACGUCCGGGGUUAGAUUCUGGAUUGAGGGAGAGGUCUUGGGUUAGAUUCUGGAUUGAGGGAGAGGUCCGGGGUUAGAUUCUGGAUUGAGGGAGAGGUCUGGGGUGAGAUUCUGGAUUGAGGGAGACGUCCAGGGUUAGAUUCUGGUCUGGGGUGAGAUUCUGGAUUGAGGGAGACGUCCGGGGUUAGAUUCUGGAUUGAGGGAGACGUCCGGGGUUAGAUUCUGGUCUGGGGUGAGAUUCUGGAUUGAGGGAGACGUCCGGGGUUAGAUUCUGGAUUGAGGGAGAGGUCGGGGGUUAGAUUCUGGAUUGAGGGAGAGGUCCGGGAUUCAAUUCUGGAUUGAGGUGCAGCUUCAAACCUAAGACAUUUAACAUAGGUAGCGACUGUUUCUUCACCAAAAGUCCUAUAUCAGGCAUGAAAAAUAAGCAAGUCUUUCAAUAGAACCUUAUAAUCAGUACCCCCCAUCUCAUGGUAGGAGUUGGCACAUUGAGAAACAUCUUCAUUCUUCAUAUUGCUGUUACCAAACAGUUUCAUUGCUGUUAUUCAUCUGUAAUUAUAUAAAUAUGUAUGACCUUAACUAUGAACCUUGUAUGGAGGCUUAAAAUACAGGCAAUCCUGAGCAACAUGCAUAGGUCCAUGGCACUUUAUGUGCAUCUAUACAUGUGAGAAAAAAAUUCCCGAAUGGGAAUUAAAAUGAUGUACAAAUAAACAAAUAAAUAGAUUUUAAUUCCUGGAGAUCAAAUAGCCAAAACUGAGUGCCUGGUAAUGAUAAAAAUAGAAGCAGGUCUGGAGUUCUGCUGCAAGGGAUCAUAUUAUGAAACUAUAUUAUUUCUUUAAGGAAUUUCAUCUUAACUCCUUGACAUCAAACAUCUAAACUGAGUAUAUGGUAAUAAU
Molecule: long non-coding RNA, 2186 nt
Organism: Ostrea edulis (European flat oyster)
Lineage: Eukaryota; Metazoa; Mollusca; Bivalvia; Ostreida; Ostreidae
Exons: 2
Source: RefSeq, a predicted model, not a curated record